GUAGGUGAACCUGCGGAGGGAUCAUUACCGAGUUCAUGCCCUUACGGGUAGAUCUCCCACCCUAUGUUAUUAUUACCUUUGUUGCUUUGGCGGGCCGUCAGAUCUCGGUCAGGCUACCGGCUCCGGCUGGUAAGCGCCCGCCAGAGGACCCCAAACUCUGAAAUUAGUGUCGUCUGAGUACUAUAUAAUAGUUAAAACUUUCAACAACGGAUCUCUUGGUUCUG
This 224-nucleotide unclassified non-coding RNA is filed under the name rhizosphere metagenome. RNAcentral describes it as "partial ribosomal RNA internal transcribed spacer region". The record is from RNAcentral.